CCGAUGUUCGCGAGUCCAAAGCACCGCCGCUCGCUCGCUUCUUCGGGGGCAGUUCUCUUUCGCCCAUUUUACGGUUGGCCCUCGAUAUCGAAUGAAACGCAGUCUGACAGUUAACGCGCAGGACUUGAACAAAGUUAGACGGCUAUUUCAAUAAAAUCUAUGACUGAUUUAACCGAGAAUUAACGGAUAUGUUGAAGCCUUAGGUGAAGAAAUUGAUCGUAAAGACGUCAGACCAAAUUUGCCACUUGAUCCAAAGAGUUAGUUUCUGUGUUGAAUAAGACUUUGCCGGAUAUAAAUGAAGUGCCUUUCCGGGAUUCGCUGAGUCUUCCUGUUUGUCAAAGAGACAGAAGUCGAACUGAUUUACAUUUUCUACCAGCAUAUCGUUACCAAGACAUCCCGUUAAGGUCGCAGCAAGAUUGUUCGUAAAUAAACAUUUGUUCAACUUGUCGCUCCGCCCUCAAACAACUGCAAAUAAAGGUAGGGGGCCACUCUCAGCGGAGGACAAAAAGCAAGCGCCUGCAACCGCAGUUAUAACUGUACUCUAUGGCCGCCAUACUCUGAAUCAACGGACAGACGUUGAUGACGUACCAACACCAUGGCGGAAUUAACGACAAGCGAUUACACCAACAUUACGACACCACUUUUGUUAACGCAACAACUUGUGACGAGGCACUCAGAACCCGAUUCUCACUCCCAGGCGCAUUCCGUUGCUGACUUAGAAUGGAACCGAGGACUGCGCAUAAACGUACUAAUAGUUUGUGUUGUGAUUGGAACUAUUGGCUGUUUUGGGGUCUGUCUCUGGAUGUGGUACAACACUCGGAGGAAAUCUCGGGUCAAUACCAUGAUAAUGCAUCUGACAGUUUCGGAUGUCCUCGUUCUCUGGUUAGCAUCCCUCGGACAGAUUAUUUGGGAAUUCAUGGGAAAUCCCAACUGGUUAGCUGGGAAUGGUUUCUGUAAGAUAUUCAAGUUCCUCCAGACGUUUUCUAUCAUGGCCAGUAAUUAUAUUCUUGUUGUCAUCGGGAUUGAUCGCCACCAGGCCAUUCGGGCCCCACUCAAGGAACCAUUCGCAGUAUGGAAGAUGGCUGGAGUGGGAUGGGGUCUUGCCGGAGUCUUCUCAACGCCUCAGCUUUACAUCUUCUCGACCUACCAAGUCGAAGUCAACACGACCAACGAAACAUCCAACGCGACUGUCAUCAUUGAGGAGGAAAUAUGCCGAUCUCUGUUCAAGGACAACCCAAUAAUACAUAGACAAGCUUACCUGACGUUCAUUUUUGUGGUCAACUUUUUUCUACCCUUGUUUAUCAUAGGCAUAUGCUACAUCAGAAUAUUUUUCAAAAUAGCAGAGAAGGUAAAAGAGGGGAAGGGGUGUAAGAAACAGAGCAUAAAGCCCGGUAAAGUGCAUUUACAAAGUACUCAAUCCUCCUCCCUGCCAAAGGCUAAGGUCAAAACGCUCAAGAUGACCAUAGUUAUUGUUCUGAACUUUAUAAUCUGCAGUACCCCAUAUUAUGUAGCUGAGAUGAUCAUGAACUAUGGCGACUGGGCCUCCAUGAUGACGCCCACAGUCUGGGGACUGUUGGGCGCAGUGACCACGACAAAUUCAGUUACAAACUCUUAUAUUUUUCUACUCUUCAAUGCGAAUGCUAAGUGCAUGCGGAGGAUCUGCGGUAGAUGUCCAUGCGUAGACGAAGUGCCUCGCCACAGAGAUUUUGAUUCAAGUGUUUUCAAGCAUGUAGUCCGUUGGGAAAAGAAUAGUGUCAGACCAAAAGCUAUUUCCAUGUCGGAGCAACACUGGUGCACAGAACACGUGUUCAUAAGACAAGUAUUUUGACCAUUUUAGUGCAACUUAAACCUGCAUGGUAUGUUGUUCAUAAUAUAAAAGUAAAAACCUUUUUAUGACUGAGGCUAGCUAUGUGCAAGCGUAUAUAAAGGAAUUCACCAUUGCGAUUUUCUUUACGAUUUUUGGGUUUCGAUCGGAUGUGAUGUGUAUGGUCACUACACAUUAAGCGGGGGAUACAUCUGCGAUAAAAGAGCCGAAAUCUAGCGAUACAGACCAGAGCUGCUUCAUGUUACAUGAUAUAUCUCCGUUAGAACAGCAACCUGAUACGGCAUCCCUAUCGCAAGUCUGUCAUCCAUCGCAAGCCAAAAACGCAAUGGUGGAUUCGUCGCUCAGAACAAUCUCCAAAGGUAUAAUCUUUUCGAUAUGUGCAUAAUCCUUCGUUCAAUUAAGUUCGUCGAGAUGACAUGUUCAUCAUGUCAUCAUUUCAUUAAAUAAAGAUGGAGGUAGAAUCUAUAAACCUGCUGCCUUCCAAUAUGAUAUAUUGAGUUGAGUUGAGAUCUGAUUAAAUUCAGAAUAUGAGAUAGAGGAAAGGAGACGUUCUCACGUGAGGUGGAGUGACAGUGUAUAUGUAGACCUCCCCUAUAUAUUGCAAGGUACGGUAAUUGUUUUUAAAUCACAGUUAAUUUGUCUUCCUGUUAGGUAUAUACUUCUUUUUUCAUGACUUGGCUAGACCACUGCGUUCAGAUUGUAACGUAUUAGGGCUGAGUUGUUCAAAACCAUAGUUUUAACGGAGCCGUUAAGUCUUAGCGUCAAAAUUCUAAUUGGAUUAACUGAAAAAGAUAACUUCCUUAAGUAUACUUACAUGUAACGUAACCGUUAAGGAUAACGUGACAGUUGUGAUUUUGAACCACCCUGAGCUCAACUAUACCGUAAAUGUACGUCAUACAAGAAAUCGAAACUCGCUAAUUAACAACUUUAGUAGAAAUUGCACGACAGCCUCAGUUCUCAAAAGGUUAGAAGAAAAUUACGCCAAUCCAAAAAAGAAUUCUGUACUUUUUAGCAUAACUGGACUAGAUGGUGCCUGCAGGUUGCUUGGGAUAAAGUAUUGCUUUCAUAUUUCUACCCUUUCCACAGCGUCUGAUUGGUCCGAGGCACUUCAUUGCUCGGUAUCGCAUGACGUGUUUUGUGUUUCCUGGUGGCGGGUUUACACGUAUUACUGAUAUUUUUUGUAACCUUGGUGUAAACAUCUUGUAUAAGGCAUGCCAUGAGCAUGAUAUCCAAACAGGAAUGUUGAUUUACAUUAUGAAAUUCAGCAUGCCUUGUACGUUUGUGGUGAUAAUGUAGUGGAGAUGUUCUUAACACGAUUCUGUUGCUGUAAAUAUUCGAAAGCCACUUCAUGACUUUAAUAGGAUAGAAUAUUUAUCGGUCAAAACUCAGAGGAAUAACAAUCUCGUAUUGUUAAGUUACGCGAGUCGUUGGUGCCUAAAAAACGUUGCAGCCUCUCAUUUUACCCAUUUGAUGAAUAGGUAUCACCGUCAACGGUUCAUAUCAGUCAAUGACUUCAUAUCUAUCUAAGUGAGCCGUUGGUGUCUGAAGCAUGUUUCAGCAUCUCGUUAUACCAAGAAUUAAUAAAUAGUCUUGUUAAUUCUUGGUUUGACCCAUCUUUUAAAAAACUAGGUUCAUCUCAAUCCAUUCAUACUAUGACCGCACAGUUAAGUAAGCCGUUGUUGUCUGAAGCAUGCUCCAGCCCUUCAUUUAUGCCCAUCUUUUCCUGGUACACGACUGGCUAUCAAAUUUCAUUUCAAUCCAUGCAUGUUGUAUUAAGCGAGUGGACUGUGUUGUUCCCUGCAGGUAGACGGCGGGUUGACAAAACCUGCAAACUCCUUCCAACCUAAAUACAAAUUUUCACAUCACUAAAUCAUUGAGAUUGCCGAGUUACAUAAUAUUGUAAAAAUUCCCUUGCAGCUCGCUUGACACAGCAGGCAUGUACAUUGUGAACUAUAAAUUCAUUUCCAAGAGGUCAAAGUUGUAAGCCAAGACCCGGUUGCUCAAUCGGCGCUGGAGACAAACGCCAUCGUUAGCUCAACUAAGCAUUAUCUACAUCAGUUUCUACCCUCCGGGCAUGAUGUCAUUUCUUGAUGCGAGAAGACACAGCGCCGUCGCACGGCAGAACUGAUAACGACUUAAACGUUCAGCUGAUCCGCUCGGUUCAGUGGGAGAUUUUUAUCAUGUGAGACCACCGGAUCUAUUCGUAAAACACCUUGGUUACAACAUUUCAUUUUUAGCAUAGUGUAUUACAUACAUAGCCUCGUUUUGAUCACAGAGGUUUUGAUCAAACAAAAACCAUAUUAAAUUAGUACCAUCCUUGGGGCAAAAACAGAAGAUUAUGAAUGAAGCAGGUUUGAGGUGUUUCAGAAUAGAUAUUGAUACCUCAUUGUCAUUGGUUGUCUCACCAAACACAGCUUGGGUGGAGAUGUCAUUACACCCAACCUCGGCUGCGUUUAGUGAGUCAAAAAUACCUCCAGUUUGUUUAACUGCUUUAAAUCAGCAUGUAAUUCUUGAUUUAUAACAUCAUUAUGAUCCAAUGUGAUCCAUGGUUAGUCAGAAGUCGAUGUUUUCAACUAUGCUUCCAUCUAUCCAAAUUCGCCGAAAAUACCGACAGUAAGGUAUCAACUUCUACAACUAUAAUUCCAAUGUCGAGUUUUGAAACCAGAAAAUGCGUGCAGCAACAUUUGUGUUCAGUGUAUUGGACACCUUGAACUUAUGUUGUAAAUACACCCACUCCACAUGGCCAUGCACGGGGGAACAAAAAGGCCAAAAUGAAAAAAGCAGCUAAAAAGAUGUCACAAACAUAUUUCAGGGGACGGUUCAGUUUGAGCGAUACCGACCAUAAUGGUUGUCACACCAGACAAACUCGUGGUGGGACCACCAAUAUUUCUAGUUCGGUAACAGAACUGUUUUUCGGGCGUCUAUUUUGUUUUAGGAUAGUACAUGUAACUGUGCCUUUCAAGUCUACGUCGUCAUCAUGAUUCUCGACGCUUUUUAUAGGCUGUAUAUACAUUACGUGUCAGCUUAUAGUUGUUAACAAACCAUUGUAAUUACUAUUAUUAAUAUGCAGAUUGGACUAUCAUCCAGUAUAGAUUUGAAGGGGGACUACAGGAAUGAGCCAGGUGGGCCAGAUUAAGUUGUACGAAGUUGUCGAUAGGUUAGUCUCCUUUCUUACAGUAUACAUCGGUGCACUCACUGAUGUAAGCCCAAAACAAGACCCAGUUCUCUAAUUUGCAAAUGAGUCAGCUUGAGACAACUAAUUUUCAGAGCCCGAUCCUCGCUCAUGUCUAUAGUCCCCCUUUAACCUCAUAGUUCCGGGGAAACAAUGAAUAUCCCAUGGCAUCAAGUACAUGUACCUUGCGAAUUUCUGCAGGCCAUGAUGAUAGUGUUCUGCACGAAUGUCUUUAUUUUGUAAACAUAUCGGUAUCGUUAUGUUAAAUAUUAAUAAAACAAUAAAAUGCAUUAUAGUUAUUGACAAA
Lineus longissimus is the source of this 5304-nucleotide RNA transcript. It is a transcript of the gene named gonadotropin-releasing hormone receptor-like, with no coding region annotated. The record is from RefSeq and is a predicted model, not a curated record. The transcript is spliced from 6 exons. NCBI's taxonomy places the organism in Eukaryota, Metazoa, Nemertea, Pilidiophora, Heteronemertea, Lineidae.